Molecule: ribosomal RNA, 253 nt
Filed under: uncultured bacterium
Lineage: Bacteria
Description: partial 16S ribosomal RNA
Rfam family: Bacterial small subunit ribosomal RNA
Source: RNAcentral
UACGAAGGGGGCUAGCGUUGCUCGGAAUUACUGGGCGUAAAGGGCGCGUAGGCGGUUUGCACAGUCAGACGUGAAAUUCCUGGGCUUAACCUGGGGGCUGCGUUUGAUACGUGCAGGCUUGAGUUCGGAAGAGGGUCGUGGAAUUCCCAGUGUAGAGGUGAAAUUCGUAGAUAUUGGGAAGAACACCGGUGGCGAAAGCGGCUCACUGGACCACAACUGACGCUGAGGCGCGAAAGCUAGGGGAGCAAACAGG